AGCUCCAAUAGCGUAUAUUAAAGUUGUUGCGGUUAAAAAGCUCGUAGUUGGAUUUCAGUUCUGGACUGACGGUUCACCGCCCGGUGCAUACUGUCACGCUCCGAACAAGCAUAACAGCCCGCUGGCUCGCACGGGGUGCUCUUCAUCGAGUGUCCCGCGUGGCCGGCAGAGUUUACUUUGAAAAAAUUAGAGUGCUCAAAGCAGGCUACACUUACGGCCUGAAUGCCUAUGCAUGGAAUAAUGGAAUAGGACCUCGGUUCUAUUUUGUCGGUUUUCUGAACCCGAGGUAAUGACUAAUAGGAACAGGCGGGGGCAUUCGUAUUGCGACGCUAGAGGUGAAAUUCUUGGACCGUCGCAAGACGAACUACUGCGAAAGCAUUUGCCAAGGAUGUUUUCA
Molecule: ribosomal RNA, 397 nt
Filed under: Hemigrapsus takanoi
Lineage: Eukaryota; Metazoa; Arthropoda; Malacostraca; Decapoda; Varunidae
Description: SSU rRNA
Rfam family: Eukaryotic small subunit ribosomal RNA
Source: RNAcentral